AAACUGCAGUACAAAUGUCAUUGAAAAUCGCAAUUAUGCUGCUAAGAUUGUUUUGCCGAAUUCAUUGAAUCUUUUUUUUUUUUUUUUUUUUUUUUUUUUU
This 100-nucleotide non-coding RNA is filed under the name Ctenophora environmental sample. The record is from RNAcentral. Lineage: Eukaryota; Metazoa; Ctenophora.